Diceros bicornis minor is the source of this 71-nucleotide non-coding RNA. RefSeq annotates it as small Cajal body-specific RNA 18. Lineage: Eukaryota; Metazoa; Chordata; Mammalia; Perissodactyla; Rhinocerotidae. The transcript has a single exon. The record is from RefSeq and is a predicted model, not a curated record.
UGGUCAAUGAUGACCUGACCACUGCGCAAUCUGAGUUCUAAGAACCAGUGAUGGAGUGUGUACUGAGACCG